UGGGGGAUAUUGCACAAUGGGCGAAAGCCUGAUGCAGCGACGCCGCGUGGGGGAUGAAGGCUUUCGGGUUGUAAACCUCUUUCGCUAUCGAACAAGGCCCGCUUAGGGUGGGUUGAGGGUAGGUGGAGAAGAAGCGCCGGCUAACUACGUGCCAGCAGCCGCGGUAAUACGUAGGGCGCGAGCGUUGUCCGGAAUUAUUGGGCGUAAAGGGCUUGUAGGCGGCUUGUUGCGCCUGCUGUGAAAACGCUGGGCUUAACUUCGCGCGUGCAGUGGGUACGGGCAGGCUUGAGUGUGGUAGGGGUGACUGGAAUUCCAGGUGUAGCGGUGGAAUGCGCAGAUAUCUGGAGGAACACCGAUGGCGAAGGCAGGUCACUGGGCCAUUACUGACGCUGAGGAGCGAAAGCAUGGGUAGCGAACAGG
This 420-nucleotide ribosomal RNA is filed under the name bacterium. RNAcentral describes it as "partial 16S ribosomal RNA". It matches the Rfam family "Bacterial small subunit ribosomal RNA", at positions 355 to 776 of the family's 1533-position model. The record is from RNAcentral.